AGAGCGAUUCCUGCCACCCAUGCUUGGAGCUACACAUUGCCAUACCUUCCUUGCCACAACAGGCAGAAAUAUCUCCCGAACUAUAUACAUCCAUGUUUCCCCCUGAUACCGACAAAGGCUUCAGGGAAAGCAAGCCUGCCCUCACAUCCAGGAUGCAUCUGAUUUAUUUCUUUUCUCCUUGGCGGUAAUUGGUGUAACAACCCAGGACCACAACAGCCAAUGAUUCCUAGACAAAUUGUUGAAGUGCAGCUAAAGAAGACCGGAGGAUAUGUUGGCCAGGGACUUUGGGAAAGAUAAAGUUGUGGGAAAAAAUGCUCUUUCUUGACCAAGGUCAUCGUUGUAGCAGAAUCUUUUUUACUGUUUACUCAAGAAUGGAGCAACAAUGGGAAGAAGAAAAAAUAAAAUCAUAUAGAAACAG
Molecule: long non-coding RNA, 418 nt
Filed under: Rattus norvegicus (Norway rat)
Lineage: Eukaryota; Metazoa; Chordata; Mammalia; Rodentia; Muridae
Description: long non-coding RNA NONRATT020746
Source: RNAcentral